GAUGAACGCUGGCGGCGUGCCUAAUACAUGCAAGUCGAGCGAACAGACGAGGAGCUUGCUCCUCUGACGUUAGCGGCGGACGGGUGAGUAACACGUGGAUAACCUACCUAUAAGACUGGGAUAACUUCGGGAAACCGGAGCUAAUACCGGAUAAUAUAUUGAACCGCAUGGUUCAAUAGUGAAAGACGGUUUUGCUGUCACUUAUAGAUGGAUCCGCGCCGCAUUAGCUAGUUGGUAAGGUAACGGCUUACCAGGGCAACGAUGCGUAGCCGACCUGAGAGGGUGAUCGGCCACACUGGAACUGAGACACGGUCCAGACUCCUACGGGAGGCAGCAGUAGGGAAUCUUCCGCAAUGGGCGAAAGCCUGACGGAGCAACGCCGCGUGAGUGAUGAAGGUCUUCGGAUCGUAAAACUCUGUUAUUAGGGAAGAACAAAUGUGUAAGUAACUAUGCACGUCUUGACGGUACCUAAUCAGAGAGCCACGGCUAACUACGUG
RNAcentral lists this ribosomal RNA (497 nucleotides) under uncultured bacterium. Its description in RNAcentral is "partial 16S ribosomal RNA". It matches the Rfam family "Bacterial small subunit ribosomal RNA", at positions 28 to 507 of the family's 1533-position model. The record is from RNAcentral.